GCAGCGAAAUGCGAUACGUAGUGUGAAUUGCAGAAUUCCGCGAAUCAUCGAGUCUUUGAACGCAAGUUGCGCCCGAGGCUUGCCCUCGGGCAUUUCUGUCAGAGCGUCAC
RNAcentral lists this ribosomal RNA (110 nucleotides) under Schistidium crassipilum. RNAcentral describes it as "partial 5.8S ribosomal RNA". It matches the Rfam family "5.8S ribosomal RNA", at positions 45 to 154 of the family's 154-position model. From Rfam's summary of the family: 5.8S ribosomal RNA (5.8S rRNA) is a component of the large subunit of the eukaryotic ribosome. It is transcribed by RNA polymerase I as part of the 45S precursor that also contains 18S and 28S rRNA. Functionally, it is thought that 5.8S rRNA may be involved in ribosome translocation. RNAcentral also lists the same sequence under 1 other name. Lineage: Eukaryota; Viridiplantae; Streptophyta; Bryopsida; Grimmiales; Grimmiaceae. The record is from RNAcentral.